This is a long non-coding RNA of Hibiscus syriacus, 460 nucleotides long. RefSeq lists it as uncharacterized. The record is from RefSeq and is a predicted model, not a curated record. The transcript is spliced from 2 exons. NCBI's taxonomy places the organism in Eukaryota, Viridiplantae, Streptophyta, Magnoliopsida, Malvales, Malvaceae.
GUGAUUUUGGUGUCAGUAUGAACACCCAUCUGAAAACAGUGAAACUCACGUUGAAGGGGGAAAAUCCUGUAGCUUUGGAUCACCUUAGUGUGCGGGGUAACAAUAUUCGCUACUAUAUCCUGCCUGACAGCUUAAAUCUCGAAAAAUUGUUGGUUGAAGAGACUCCUAGGGUGAAACCUAAGAAGCCAACAGCUGGGAGGCCUUUGGGACAUGGUCGGGGUUGUGGCCGUUAAAUAUGAUGCCUUGUAUUUUUGAGAUGGCUGGAUGCCGAGACAGCGUUGUUGUUGGGGCAAUUUGUGGGUAAUCUUACGAAUACUGAAGGAAUUGUAUCGGUAUUUAGAUAUUGUGUGCGAGUUUUAGUCUGGUUUGGAUUGAUCAUGAAAACGUGAGAUUCGUGGCAUGUUGAUUUGAUCAAAUGCUAAUAACUGAGCCGAUAAUCUAAUUUUGGAAUCAUUUUCCU